UUGAACGCUGGCGGUAUGCUUAACACAUGCAAGUCGAACGGAAACGAUACUAGCUUGCUAGUAGGCGUCGAGUGGCGGACGGGUGAGUAACGCGUAGGAAUCUGCCUGAUAGUGGGGGAUAGCCCGAAGAAAUUCGGAUUAAUACCGCAUAAUCUAUUCGUAGUAAAGUGGGGGACUUUCGAGCCUCACGCUAUCAGAUGAGCCUGCGUAAGAUUAGCUUGUUGGUAGGGUAAAAGCCUACCAAGGCGACGAUCUUUAGCUGGUCUGAGAGGAUGAUCAGCCACAUCGGGACUGAGACACGGCCCGAACUCCUACGGGAGGCAGCAGUGGGGAAUAUUGGACAAUGGGGGCAACCCUGAUCCAGCAAUACCGCGUGUGUGAAGAAGGCCUGAGGGUUGUAAAGCACUUUCAAUUGUGAAGAAAAGUUAGCGGUUAAUAACCGUUAGCCUUGACGUUAACUUUAGAAGAAGCACCGGCUAACUCCGUGCCGGCAGCCGCGGUAAUACGGAGGGUGCAAGCGUUAAUCGGAAUUACUGGGCGUAAAGCGUGCGUAGGCGGUUUAUUAAGUCAGAUGUGAAAGCCCCGGGCUUAACCUGGGAACUGCAUUUGAAACUGGUCAACUAGAGUAUGGUAGAGGAAAGUGGAAUUUCUGGUGUAGCGGUGAAAUGCGUAGAUAUCAGAAGGAACAUCAAUGGCGAAGGCAGCUUUCUGGACCAAUACUGACGCUGAGGUACGAAAGCGUGGGUAGCAAACAGGAUUAGAUACCCUGGUAGUCCACGCCGUAAACGAUGAUAACUAGCCGUUGGGGGGAUUUACCCUUUAGUGGCGAAGCUAACGCGUUAAGUUAUCCGCCUGGGGAGUACGGCCGCAAGGUUAAAACUCAAAGGAAUUGACGGGGACCCGCACAAGCGGUGGAGCAUGUGGUUUAAUUCGAUGCAACGCGAAGAACCUUACCUGGUCUUGACAUCCUGCGAACUUUCUAGAAAUAGAUUGGUGCCUUCGGGAACGCAGUGACAGGUGCUGCAUGGCUGUCGUCAGCUCGUGUCGUGAGAUGUUGGGUUAAGUCCCGUAACGAGCGCAACCCCUAUCCUUAUUUGCCAGCACAUCAUGGUGGGAACUAUAAGGAGACUGCCGGUGAUAAACCGGAGGAAGGCGGGGACGACGUCAAGUCAUCAUGGCCCUUACGACCAGGGCUACACACGUGCUACAAUGGGAAGGACAAAGAGCCGCGAAGCCGCGAGGUGUAGCUAAUCUCAUAAACCUUUUCGUAGUCCGGAUUGGAGUCUGCAACUCGACUCCAUGAAGUCGGAAUCGCUAGUAAUCGUAGAUCAGAAUGCUACGGUGAAUACGUUCCCGGGUCUUGUACACACCGCCCGUC
RNAcentral lists this ribosomal RNA (1378 nucleotides) under uncultured bacterium. RNAcentral's name for it is "bacterial SSU rRNA". It matches the Rfam family "Bacterial small subunit ribosomal RNA", at positions 29 to 1398 of the family's 1533-position model. The record is from RNAcentral.